This 592-nucleotide ribosomal RNA is filed under the name Salmonella enterica subsp. enterica serovar Typhimurium str. CDC_2009K1288. Its description in RNAcentral is "bacterial LSU rRNA". It matches the Rfam family "Bacterial large subunit ribosomal RNA", at positions 1344 to 1919 of the family's 2925-position model. The record is from RNAcentral. Lineage: Bacteria; Pseudomonadati; Pseudomonadota; Gammaproteobacteria; Enterobacterales; Enterobacteriaceae.
ACCAAGGGUUCCUGUCCAACGUUAAUCGGGGCAGGGUGAGUCGACCCCUAAGGCGAGGCCGAAAGGCGUAGUCGAUGGGAAACGGGUUAAUAUUCCCGUACUUGGUGUUACUGCGAAGGGGGGACGGAGAAGGCUAUGUUGGCCGGGCGACGGUUGUCCCGGUUUAAGCGUGUAGGUGUGUGUUCCAGGUAAAUCCGGUUCACUUUAACACUGAGGCGUGAUGACGAGGCACUACGGUGCUGAAGCAACAAAUGCCCUGCUUCCAGGAAAAGCCUCUAAGCAUCAGGUAACAUCAAAUCGUACCCCAAACCGACACAGGUGGUCAGGUAGAGAAUACCAAGGCGCUUGAGAGAACUCGGGUGAAGGAACUAGGCAAAAUGGUGCCGUAACUUCGGGAGAAGGCACGCUGACACGUAGGUGAAGUGAUUUACUCACGGAGCUGAAGUCAGUCGAAGAUACCAGCUGGCUGCAACUGUUUAUUAAAAACACAGCACUGUGCAAACACGAAAGUGGACGUAUACGGUGUGACGCCUGCCCGGUGCCGGAAGGUUAAUUGAUGGGGUCAGCGCAAGCGAAGCUCCUGAUCGAAGCC